This 301-nucleotide ribosomal RNA is filed under the name uncultured bacterium. RNAcentral describes it as "partial 16S ribosomal RNA". It matches the Rfam family "Bacterial small subunit ribosomal RNA", at positions 509 to 807 of the family's 1533-position model. The record is from RNAcentral.
CAGUAGCCACGGGAAUACGAGGGGGGCAAGCGUUGUUCGGAAUUAUUGGGCGUAAAGGGUGCGUAGGCGGUUUGACAAGUCUUAUGUGAAAUCUCUGGGCUCAACCCAGAGUCUGCAUGGGAAACUGUCGGGCUUGAGUAUGGGAGAGGUGAGUGGAAUUUCCGGUGUAGCGGUGAAAUGCGUAGAUAUCGGAAGGAACACCUGUGGCGAAAGCGGCUCACUGGACCAUAACUGACGCUGAUGCACGAAAGCUAGGGGAGCAAACAGGAUUAGAUACCCGCGUAGUCCCUGUCUCUUAUAC